AUACUUACCUGGCACAAGAGUUUGCUAUGAUCAUGAAGGUAGCUCUCUCGGGAUGAGGCUUUUCCAUUGCACUUCGGAUUAGCUGACUCUCGCCAUUAUCCCUAAUGUGGAUAACUGGUGUGCGUAAUUUUUGGUAGCCGGGAUUUGCGUUCGCGCUUAUCCCGA
Molecule: small nuclear RNA, 165 nt
Organism: Culicoides brevitarsis
Lineage: Eukaryota; Metazoa; Arthropoda; Insecta; Diptera; Ceratopogonidae
Product: U1 spliceosomal RNA
Exons: 1
Source: RefSeq, a predicted model, not a curated record